GCCGGGUGCAGUGGCGCGCGCCUGUAAUCCAAGCUGCUGGGAGGCUGAGGCUGGCGGAUCGCUUGAGUUCAGGGGUUCUGGGCUGCAGUGGACUAUGUCGAUCGGGUGUCCGCGCUAAGUUCGGUAUCGAUAUGGUGCUCCUGGGGGAGCUCGGGACCACCAGGUCGUCUAAGGAGGGGUGAACCGGCCCAGGUCGGAGACGGAGCAGGUCAAAGCCCCCGUGCCGAUCAGUAGUGGGGUCGCACCUGUGAAUAGACACUGCAGUGCAGCCUGAGCAAAACAGCGAUACUCAGACUUUU
The sequence is an unclassified non-coding RNA, 299 nucleotides long. It matches the Rfam family "Metazoan signal recognition particle RNA". Rfam says of the family: The signal recognition particle (SRP) is a universally conserved ribonucleoprotein. The record is from Ensembl.